UUAAGUUCAGCGGGUAUUCCUACCUGAUCCGAGGUCAACCUUGAUAUAGUGGGGGUUUCACGGCCGGAACCCGUCACGUGCCCUGAGCGAGGAUGUUUACUGCACUCGGUACGACGACGAGCCCGCCACUGGAUUUGGGAGCCUGCGGCAGCCGCAGGGCUCCAACACAAGCCGGGGGCUUGAUGGUUGAAAUGACGCUC
RNAcentral lists this unclassified non-coding RNA (200 nucleotides) under Sordariales sp. RNAcentral's name for it is "partial internal transcribed spacer 2". RNAcentral also lists the same sequence under 1 other name. Lineage: Eukaryota; Fungi; Ascomycota; Sordariomycetes; Sordariales. The record is from RNAcentral.